RNAcentral lists this ribosomal RNA (467 nucleotides) under uncultured bacterium. Its description in RNAcentral is "partial 16S ribosomal RNA". It matches the Rfam family "Bacterial small subunit ribosomal RNA", at positions 28 to 507 of the family's 1533-position model. The record is from RNAcentral.
GACGAACGCUGGCGGCGCGCCUAACACAUGCAAGUCGAACGGUUAGAGCCCCUUCGGGUGGGUUUCUCGUGGCGCGCAGCUGUGUGUCACAUGGGCAACCUCCCCCUCUCAUUUGGGUAGCAACGCAGAACACUGGGGCAUAUACAAGACAUCGGCUCUUCCGCCUGGGAGGCGCGUGGAAAGUUCGGCGGGUGGGGAUGGGCCCGCGGCCUGUUAGCUUGUUGGUGGGGUAAUGGCCUACCAAGGCAAUGAUGGGUAGCCGGGUUGAGAGGGCGACCGGCCACAUUGGGACUGAGAUACGGCCCAGACUCCUACGGGAGGCAGCAGUGGGGAAUAUUGCACAAUGGGCGGAAGCCUGAUGCAGCGACGCCGCGUGCGGGAUGACGGCCUUCGGGUUGUAAACCGCUUUCAGCAGUGACGAGGCGAAAGUGACGGUAAUUGGUGAAGAAGCACCGGCUAACUACGUG